GGGGAGUACGGCCGCAAGGUUAAAACUCAAAUGAAUUGACGGGGGCCCGCACAAGCGGUGGAGCAUGUGGUUUAAUUCGAUGCAACGCGAAGAACCUUACCUACUCUUGACAUCCAGAGAAUUUGCUAGAGAUAGCUUAGUGCCUUCGGGAACUCUGAGACAGGUGCUGCAUGGCUGUCGUCAGCUCGUGUUGUGAAAUGUUGGGUUAAGUCCCGCAACGAGCGCAACCCUUAUCCUUUGUUGCCAGCGAUUCGGUCGGG
RNAcentral lists this ribosomal RNA (260 nucleotides) under Pectobacterium carotovorum subsp. carotovorum ICMP 5702. RNAcentral's name for it is "partial 16S ribosomal RNA". It matches the Rfam family "Bacterial small subunit ribosomal RNA", at positions 875 to 1135 of the family's 1533-position model. Lineage: Bacteria; Pseudomonadati; Pseudomonadota; Gammaproteobacteria; Enterobacterales; Pectobacteriaceae. The record is from RNAcentral.